Molecule: ribosomal RNA, 222 nt
Filed under: uncultured bacterium
Lineage: Bacteria
Description: partial 16S ribosomal RNA
Rfam family: Bacterial small subunit ribosomal RNA
Source: RNAcentral
UACGUAGGUGGCAAGCGUUGUCCGGAAUUAUUUGGGCGUAAAGCGCGCGUCAGGCGGCCUCUUAAGUCUGAUGUGAAAGCCCCCGGCUCAACCGGGGAGGGCCAUUGGAAACUGGGAGGCUUUGAGUAUAGGAGAGAAGAGUGGAAUUCCGACGUGUAGCGGUGAAAUGCGUAGAGAUGAUGGAGGAACACCAGUGGUCGAAGGCGACUCUUUGGCCUAUAA